UGGCCUAUGGUGUAAUUGGCAGCACGACGGUUUCUGGUUCCGUUAGUUUAGGUUCGAGUCCUGGUAGGCCAG
Molecule: transfer RNA, 72 nt
Filed under: Streptomyces solicavernae
Lineage: Bacteria; Bacillati; Actinomycetota; Actinomycetes; Kitasatosporales; Streptomycetaceae
Also listed under: 3 other names
Description: tRNA-Gln
Rfam family: tRNA
About the family: Transfer RNA (tRNA) molecules are approximately 80 nucleotides in length.
Source: RNAcentral